AUUGGACGCUGGCGGCAGGCCUAACACAUGCAAGUCGAGCGGAUGAAGGGAGCUUGCUCCUGGAUUCAGCGGCGGACGGAUGAGUAAUGCCUAGGAAUCUGCCUGGUAGUGGGGGAUAACGUCCGGAAACGGGCGCUAAUACCGCAUACGUCCUGAGGGAGAAAGUGGGGGAUCUUCGGACCUCACGCUAUCAGAUGAGCCUAGGUCGGAUUAGCUAGUUGGUGGGGUAAAGGCCUACCAAGGCGACGAUCCGUAACUGGUCUGAGAGGAUGAUCAGUCACACUGGAACUGAGACACGGUCCAGACUCCUACGGGAGGCAGCAGUGGGGAAUAUUGGACAAUGGGCGAAAGCCUGAUCCAGCCAUGCCGCGUGUGUGAAGAAGGUCUUCGGAUUGUAAAGCACUUUAAGUUGGGAGGAAGGGCAGUAAGUUAAUACCUUGCUGUUUUGACGUUACCAACAGAAUAAGCACCGGCUAACUUCGUG
RNAcentral lists this ribosomal RNA (484 nucleotides) under uncultured bacterium. RNAcentral's name for it is "partial 16S ribosomal RNA". It matches the Rfam family "Bacterial small subunit ribosomal RNA", at positions 30 to 507 of the family's 1533-position model. The record is from RNAcentral.